Molecule: ribosomal RNA, 460 nt
Filed under: uncultured bacterium
Lineage: Bacteria
Description: partial 16S ribosomal RNA
Rfam family: Bacterial small subunit ribosomal RNA
Source: RNAcentral
CCUACGGGUGGCAGCAGUGAGGAAUAUUGGUCAAUGGGCGGAAGCCUGAACCAGCCAAGUAGCGUGCAGGAUGACGGCCCUACGGGUUGUACACUGCUUUUAUACGUGAAUAACGCGCCUUACGUGUAGGGCUUUGCAUGUACCGUAUGAAUAAGGCCCGGCUAAUUCCGUGCCAGCAGCCGCGGUAAUCCUGAAGGUCCGGGCGUUAUCCGGAUUUAUUGGGUGUAAAGGGAGCGUAGGCCGCAUGUCAAGCGUGCUGUGAAAUGUCCGGGCUCAACCCGGGCCUUGCAGCGCGAACUGGCGGGCUUGAGUGCGCGGAAAGCAGGCGGAAUUCGUCGUGUAGCGGUGAAAUGCUUAGAUAUGACGAAGAACCCCGAUUGCGAAGGCAGCUUGCUGCAGCGGAACUGACGCUGAUGCUCGAAAGCGCGGGUAGCGAACAGGAUUAGAUACCCCAGUAGUC